Molecule: ribosomal RNA, 274 nt
Filed under: uncultured bacterium
Lineage: Bacteria
Description: partial 16S ribosomal RNA
Rfam family: Bacterial small subunit ribosomal RNA
Source: RNAcentral
AUACGGAGGGUGCAAGCGUUAAUCGGAAUUACUGGGCGUAAAGCGCGCGUAGGCGGUUUAGUAAGUCGGAUGUGAAAGCCCUGGGCUCAACCUGGGAAUUGCAUUCGAUACUGCUUGACUAGAGUAUGGUAGAGGGAAGUGGAAUUUCCGGUGUAGCGGUGAAAUGCGUAGAUAUCGGAAGGAACACCAGUGGCGAAGGCGACUUCCUGGGCCAAUACUGACGCUGAGGUGCGAAAGCGUGGGGAGCAAACAGGAUUAGAUACCCCUGUAGUCC